This 203-nucleotide ribosomal RNA is filed under the name uncultured bacterium. RNAcentral describes it as "partial 16S ribosomal RNA". It matches the Rfam family "Bacterial small subunit ribosomal RNA", at positions 335 to 528 of the family's 1533-position model. The record is from RNAcentral.
CGUUUACGGGAGGCAGCAGGUGGGGAAUCCUUCCGACAAUGGACAAAGUCUGACGGAGCAACGCCGCGUGAGUGAUGACGGCCUUCGGGUUGUAAAGCUCUGUUAAUCGGGACGAAAGGUCUUCUUGCGAAUAGUUAGAAGAAUUGACGGUACCGGAAUAGAAAGCCACGGCUAACUACGUGCCAGCAGCCGCGGUAAUAAGG